Molecule: unclassified non-coding RNA, 300 nt
Filed under: Rhizophlyctis rosea
Lineage: Eukaryota; Fungi; Chytridiomycota; Chytridiomycetes; Rhizophlyctidales; Rhizophlyctidaceae
Description: partial internal transcribed spacer region
Rfam family: Eukaryotic small subunit ribosomal RNA (bases 1-46)
Source: RNAcentral
AAGUCGUAACAAGGUAACCGUAGGUGAACCUGCGGUUGGAUCAUUAAAAAAUGUUUUGGUCUCGUGCCAAAUCAACACCUGUGUGCACCAUUGUCUGUAUUUGGUAGUUUAGGAGGUGGGCGACUCGCAAGGGUCUGUCCGCGUUCUCCGUGACCGCCAAUCAACGCAAGUUGGUUGGUGUCGGGCUACCGCCAUUUUUGAAAAACCUUAUGUUUGUUUAUGUUUUUGUCUGAACGAAGAGUUAAUCUUCAUUGAUUAAUGAUUUGAAUACAACUUUUGACAACGGAUCUCUUGGCUCUC